This is a long non-coding RNA of Carassius carassius (crucian carp), 384 nucleotides long. RefSeq lists it as uncharacterized. The record is from RefSeq and is a predicted model, not a curated record. The transcript has 3 exons. NCBI's taxonomy places the organism in Eukaryota, Metazoa, Chordata, Actinopteri, Cypriniformes, Cyprinidae.
GGGGUGCCCAAAAUUUAGAGAAAUGUAAGAAAGUUUAAUGUUGUAUGUAAACUGUGUUUGAGGGGAAGUCAGGUGUUCAGAGAGGAGUCUGUUGGAUGUUUAGCUGUUAUUUGUUUUAUGGACUCAAUGUUGAAAAUGUAAAACAUUUCAAACACUGUUGGCAGAAGUGAAAAAUAAAUAAUUUUAUGAAGUUACAAUUUUGUUUGAUUCCAUGAUGUAUUUUACUGAACAUGAGUAUUUACAAUGCAAAUCCAAAUUAUUUUAAUUUACUGUUACUUAUAUCUUGUCUUUUAACUUUAUUAAGAUCAGAUUCUGCAGGUAAAAUUACAAUAAUAAGGUGACUUGACUUGGACUUGACUUGACUUACUACAGGACUUGACUUGA